This 251-nucleotide non-coding RNA is filed under the name Alkalithermobacter paradoxus. RNAcentral's name for it is "Clostridium thermoalcaliphilum T-box sequence". It matches the Rfam family "T-box leader". Rfam says of the family: Uncharged tRNA acts as the effector for transcription antitermination of genes in the T-box leader family. T-boxes are found upstream of many aminoacyl-tRNA synthetase genes and some amino acid biosynthetic genes usually in Gram-positive bacteria. The anticodon of a specific tRNA base pairs to a specifier sequence within the T-box motif, and the NCCA acceptor tail of the tRNA base pairs to a conserved bulge in the T-box antiterminator hairpin. The record is from RNAcentral. Lineage: Bacteria; Bacillati; Bacillota; Clostridia; Peptostreptococcales; Tepidibacteraceae.
AAAAAUACUAUGAAGAGAAGAGUAGGUAUAGUAUGAAGUCAUAGCGAGUCGGCGAUGGUGGAAGGUCGAUACGAAUUCUAUAUUGAAGAACAUCUCGGAGUUUCUAACCGAAAUCCUAAUAGGAGAGUAGACUUAGACGGAGUUACACCGUUAUAUCAAGUAAACAGUAUAGAUUUUCUGUACUGAUGAUGAGUUGGUCAGUUUUUGACAACUAGGGUGGUACCGCGAAAUUUUAGCCUUUCGUCCCUUGA